This 1305-nucleotide long non-coding RNA is filed under the name Panax ginseng (ginseng). RNAcentral's name for it is "long non-coding RNA (PGIN_LNC014319)". Lineage: Eukaryota; Viridiplantae; Streptophyta; Magnoliopsida; Apiales; Araliaceae. The record is from RNAcentral.
AGUCCAUGCCGAAGACCUUAGUCCAUUGAAACAUCCCAAAACCUGCAGUGACACCAGGGAAGGUGCAACAGGAGCAGUACAACUAAGCAACCCAAAACCUGUAGUAGCAGAACAAAUAGGCCCCACUACAACAACCCUCAUAGGAGCCCUCCCCAAUCUACAUAUAAUCAUACCCGAUUUUCAGCUGAGAUAGGAGUCCUUCCCAACCACAAAUGAAGAGGCCUAACAGCACCAACAAACCAGACCCAACAGACCACAUCUGUCAAGCCAACUCCUAUCGUUUACAUAGCAGCUGCAGCACCUCCUCCCCAACUCACGAGACAGCAGCAGCAGACUAACCAAGUGGCAACAGACCAAAACCUUCCCUAGCCUAAAACCUGCCUAGCCCCAACCAGACUGGAAGACAGAAAAAAUCUGCCAAAGCCAAGACAGAACCAAACCAGCAUCCAUAUUAAAUGCUCCUCACCCACGCAACAGCUAGUAACAGAGACUAGAAAUCAGGAACAGAAACCAGUUCUAAUACCCCAUCAACCCCACUAGAGACUGCUGCAAACAUCUACUGAACUAGCAGCUAAGAAGACAUCAGAGCCUCUCACUGCAGACCCCUAGCACCCCAACCCAACCAACAUACAACAGAGCUAAACCACUCGCAGUAGACAUUCUGAGGCAGACGAGCCUAGACAGACCAACAUACAACAGAGCUAAACUACGACAGCAGAUCUGAGGCACCAAGCACCAACUAACCCCCAACAAAAAUCAAGCAAACAUACCAGCAGAAGCUUUAACAAGCAUACCAGCAGACCAUACCAGCGACCAAAAUCUUUCUGUACAACACCUGCAGUGAUUACUCAGCUAGACCAGCCAAAAACCCAGGAAACCAAAUUAAGUAAUAUUUAAACUCAGCUAUCUAAACCCAGAUCUAUGUUUUAAUUUCAUGAAUUUAGAGUUAGUAUGGAGUUUGCACUUAAGAAAUUAAAGAACAUCAGCCACAAGAUUUUGAACAGUGUUAGAUUUAUUUCUAAAUAUUCUCACAUUACGUUCAUUCCAAAUACGGUAUACAACCGCAGCAAAUCCAAGAUGAAGCAGGCUGUGAUGGAAAUUAGGUAUAGAAUAAUGAAUGAUGUAGUCUGUUAGGGAACUCCAACUCCUACUAAAUCCCCUCCACCCACAAUGUCUGAGGAUAGAAAGGAGGACUCUAAAGGAAUAAUCACAUUGAAAAUAAAUGUGGUCAAAAGUUUUCGCCUGAGAGGAACAUAAUACACAUGAUGGGUUAAUAAGCAUCCAAAAAUUGAGCAACUUGUCCAU